GGAAAAUGGUCGGGAUA
RNAcentral lists this transfer RNA (17 nucleotides) under Colocasia esculenta (taro). RNAcentral describes it as "partial tRNA-Phe". The record is from RNAcentral. Lineage: Eukaryota; Viridiplantae; Streptophyta; Magnoliopsida; Alismatales; Araceae. RNAcentral also lists the same sequence under 10 other names.